UGAGGAAUAUUGGGCAAUGCCCGCAAGGGUGACCCAGCAACGCCGCGUGGAGGAUGAAUGUCGUAAGAUUGUAAACUCCUGUUAGAGGGGAAGAAUAGUACCGGUUGGACCGGUAUAUGACUGUACCCUCAGAGAAAGCCCCGGCUAACUACGUGCCAGCAGCCGCGGUAAUACGUAGGGGGCAAGCGUUGUCCGGAUUUACUGGGUGUAAAGGGCGCGCAGGCGGGAUAAAAAGUCAGUGGUGAAAUCCUACAGCUUAACUGUAGAACUGCCUUUGAUACUUUUAUUCUUGAGUUCGGGAGAGAGAGACGGAGUUCCAGGUGUAGUGGUGAAAUACGUAGAUAUCUGGAAGAACACCAGUUGCGAAGGCGGUCUCUUGGUCCGACACUGACGCUGAGGCGCGAAAGCGUGGGGAGCAAACA
This 422-nucleotide ribosomal RNA is filed under the name uncultured bacterium. RNAcentral's name for it is "bacterial SSU rRNA". It matches the Rfam family "Bacterial small subunit ribosomal RNA", at positions 355 to 774 of the family's 1533-position model. The record is from RNAcentral.